This 63-nucleotide microRNA precursor is filed under the name Pristionchus pacificus. RNAcentral describes it as "mir-8364 microRNA precursor family". It matches the Rfam family "mir-8364 microRNA precursor family". Lineage: Eukaryota; Metazoa; Nematoda; Chromadorea; Rhabditida; Neodiplogasteridae. The record is from Rfam by way of RNAcentral.
UCUACAUUUCACGUUCUCUCUCACCGGUCAGAGAGGAGAGAGAGAGUGUGCGAUAUGUAGAGA